RNAcentral lists this ribosomal RNA (497 nucleotides) under uncultured bacterium. RNAcentral's name for it is "partial 16S ribosomal RNA". It matches the Rfam family "Bacterial small subunit ribosomal RNA", at positions 28 to 507 of the family's 1533-position model. The record is from RNAcentral.
GAUGAACGCUGGCGGCGUGCCUAAUACAUGCCAGUCGAGCGAACGGACGAGAAGCUUGCUUCUCUGAUAUUAGAGGCGGAAGGGUGAGUAACACGUGUAUAACCUACCUAUAAGACUGGGAUAACUUCGGGAAACCGGAUCUAAUACCGGAUAAUAUUUUGAACCGCAUGGUUCAAAAGUUAAAGACGGUCUUGCUGUAACACAUAGAUGGGUCCGCGCUGCAUUAGCUAGUUGGUAAGGUAACGGCCUACCAAGGCAACGAUGCAUAGCCGACCUGAGAGGGUGAUCGGCCACACUGGAACUGAGACACGGCCCAGACUCCUACGGGAGGCAGCAGUAGGGAAUCUUCCGCAAUGGGCGAAAGCCUGACGGAGCAACGCCGCGUGAGUGAUGAAGGAUUUCGGUUCGUAAAGCUCUGUUAUUAGGGAAGAAUAUUUGUGUAAGUACUAGAGCACAUAGUGACGGUACCUAACCAGAAAGCCACGGCUAACUACGUG